UGCUAAAAGUGAUGAUGUGUCAA
Molecule: small nuclear RNA, 23 nt
Filed under: Arabidopsis thaliana (thale cress)
Lineage: Eukaryota; Viridiplantae; Streptophyta; Magnoliopsida; Brassicales; Brassicaceae
Description: snRNA_15852
Source: RNAcentral